AUAUUAAACUUGUUGCAGUUAAAAAGCUCGUAGUUGAAUUUUUGCGUCACCGUGUAUCGACAUUUGUCGUUUAUCGGUUUCGCUUUUGGGAUUUAUCCCUUUUUACUUUGAGAAAAUUAGAGUGUUUCAAGCAGACUUUUGUCUUGAAUACUUCAGCAUGGAAUAAUAGAGUAGGACUUUGGUUCUAUUUUGUUGGUUUGUGAACCUUAGUAAUGGUUAAUAGGAACGGUUGGGGGCAUUCGUAUUUAACUGUCAGAGGUGAAAUUCUUAGAUUUGUUAAAGACGAACUACUGCGAAAGCAUUUGCCAAGGACGUUUUCAUUAAUCAAGAACGAAAGUUAGGGGAUCGAAGACGAUCAGAUACCGUCGUAGUCCUAACCAUAAACUA
Molecule: ribosomal RNA, 387 nt
Filed under: Babesia odocoilei
Lineage: Eukaryota; Apicomplexa; Aconoidasida; Piroplasmida; Babesiidae
Description: SSU rRNA
Rfam family: Eukaryotic small subunit ribosomal RNA
Source: RNAcentral